GAUGAAGAACGCAGUGAAUUGCGAUAAGUAAUGUGAAUUGCAGAUUUUCAGUGAAUCAUCGAAUCUUUGAACGCACAUUGCGCCCCCCGGCAUUCCGGGGAGCAUGCCUGUUCGAGCGUCUCUUGGAAUACCCCUCACGCCGGCGGAGGCGUGGUCAUGGCGGCGGUGGCGUGCCCCGAGAGGGAGGCCACCGCGCUGGAAUCCAUGGGCGGACGCCUGCCGCGUGGCCGAGCGUGAUAAGACGCACUGGCGCUCGCGCGCGGCGAGGCUGCCGGCCCUGGCCCGCUCGUCGGGCGGGGACAGCAACACUUGGGAACUCCUCGAAUCAGGUAGGGAUACCCGCUGAACUUAAGCAUAUCAAUAAGCGGAGGA
This 372-nucleotide unclassified non-coding RNA is filed under the name soil metagenome. RNAcentral describes it as "partial contains 5.8S ribosomal RNA, internal transcribed spacer 2, and large subunit ribosomal RNA". The stretch from base 1 to 121 matches the Rfam family "5.8S ribosomal RNA", at positions 35 to 154 of the family's 154-position model. The record is from RNAcentral.